Molecule: ribosomal RNA, 229 nt
Filed under: uncultured bacterium
Lineage: Bacteria
Description: partial 16S ribosomal RNA
Rfam family: Bacterial small subunit ribosomal RNA
Source: RNAcentral
UACGUAGGGUGCAAGCGUUAAGUCGGAAUACUGGGCGUAAAGCGUGCGGCAGGACGGUGAUGUAAGAGUCAGAUGUGAAAUCCCCGGGCUCAACCUGGGAACUGCAUUUGUGACUGCAUCGCUGGAGUGCGGCAGAGGGGGAUGGAAUUCCGCGUGUAGCAGUGAAAUGCGUAGAUAUGCGGAGGACACCGAUGGCGAAGGCAAUCCCCGUGGGCCUGCACUGACGCUC